This is a long non-coding RNA of Nerophis ophidion (straightnose pipefish), 515 nucleotides long. RefSeq lists it as uncharacterized. The transcript has 5 exons. The record is from RefSeq and is a predicted model, not a curated record. NCBI's taxonomy places the organism in Eukaryota, Metazoa, Chordata, Actinopteri, Syngnathiformes, Syngnathidae.
AGAGUGUCUGCUAAUGUGGAAUUCUGAAGAAACUUCCACAAAGUAAUAUGAAGGAACAUUAUUUGGAUGAAGAAGGCAGCACUCCUUCAAAGGAAAAGCAGCAUUUGCACAGAAUGCGAGUGAAAUCAGAAUUAAGUGUUCCCACUGGCCGUUUUAAUAAGUGAGCCAUUGCCGCCGUUGAACAAAGUGACUUCGCCGACUGCCAAAGCAAAGAAGUGGAUCUGUCAUUUGGAAUAAACUAGGAGCAGGGGAUCGCUCCCUCGGCUCCAUUCAGGAAUGCUGGGACUGGCAACCCCGCCUGCCACACAAGCAUUGACAUGGCCCAGGUCCUGGGGAGUAACACCCGCCCUUCCAUGAUGCGUUGCCAGCGGGUUUCCUCUGAGUUGGAAUGCACCAGAGUCGGGGUACUUGCAGGUGCCCCUGCUGAUGGGUGUGGUGACCGCCAGUGUCAACGGUGGGAGAAGAUAAUAGUCCGCAGCAGCUGCAGGAGGACGCAAGCUCCGCUCAUAACUACG